Lycium ferocissimum is the source of this 2397-nucleotide long non-coding RNA. RefSeq lists it as uncharacterized. The record is from RefSeq and is a predicted model, not a curated record. NCBI's taxonomy places the organism in Eukaryota, Viridiplantae, Streptophyta, Magnoliopsida, Solanales, Solanaceae. The transcript is spliced from 2 exons.
CCACCAAAAGGAACUUGCCCAUUUUCUCUCUUUAUAAGUGUCUAUAUAUGUAGAAGGUGAAGAACAGCCCUACAAAAAUUCCUUCUUUCUCUCUCAAAGAACAGAAAAGAAAAAAAAAACACAAGAGAUGAAAUCGCUCUUCUUAUUUCUUGUGUUUUUUAAGGCUAUGCUUGUUUUGUGCCGUUUAAAAAGGGUUGUUAUUACAGUUACUUUUUUUUUUUUUUUUUUUUUUUUUUAAUAGAUAAACAAGAAUGAGAAAAAAAAGCUACUUGGUUUUGUGGUUGUAUACAUAAUUAUAAUUUUUUUUUUUUUAAAUUUGGGGUUUGAAGAUCCAUUUGAUUAGGACCCCAUUUUGAUCAUCACUUAUAUCUCUCUUUUCCCUUUUAUUUUUCACUUUUUCCUAAAUAUAAACCAUUAUUCUCCUCCCUAAAUUCACUUCAUCUUCUUUAUUCUUGAUAAAAAUGAUCAUGGGAAAAAAAAUUGUUAUGAAUUUAAUGAGCUAGUUAUAUUGUAUAUAUGAGUAUGUGUAUGUACGUUCAUAUACAUGUAUAUGCCUGGCUCCCUGUAUGCCAUUUGCAGAGCUCAUCGUAAUAUAUCGAUGGGCCUUGUUGAAUGGCGUAUGAGGAGCCAAGCAUAUUCCGAUAUCGUGUAUAUGAUGUUGAAAUAUGUGACCAUCUCAUAAUAUAAAUCAAAAGCUAGCUCUUUUUUUUUUUUUAUCUUUUUUUUCUUGUUGUCUAAUUUGUUUUGUUGAGAUCUAUGCUCGGCCAUGGUGAUUGUUGAAGAAUUCUCUCCUUGGUGCUAAGGAAUUUGAGGUGAUUUUCUUCUCUCUCAGUUGCAACAGGUACUUUUGAAAUUAGUUCAUCCUGUCCACUUUCUUAAUUUACAUAAUGAUAUAUAUGUAGGGAUUCUUAAUUUGAAAUGUGUUUUCAUAUUGUUAAUUAAUCUUUCAUUUCCUAGUUUAUAUGUUUGUUUCUUUCAUGUUUAAGUUUUUCUUGCAGAUGGAUGAAGUAUAAUUUGUGUACCGUGAUUGUACUGCAUCUAGUCUAUCUAGAAAAUUAUACCAUCAAGAAAGCUAUAGAUUUACAUUAUUGUGUAGAGUUUAAAGUUGAAUGCACUUAAGGGGUUGUUUGGUUACAGGGAUUAUGGGGUUUUUCACAGUAUAAAAUUCAAAUUAAACUUAUCUAAUAUUUGGUUGACAUGAAUAUUAACUAAAAUUAGGAUAAAAUUUAUACAAAAUUAUGAGAUUAACUCCCACAUUGAAGGUGAAACCAUAUAUCAUGAUUAUAAUGUUGCAUUAACUUGAUUUUGAACCAAACGACUUGUAUAAAAUAUAUUAUACAUCUUGGAUUAUUAAAAGGACAGCGCAAGCAACCCUUUACAAUUAAUACCGAUUAGCUAGUAACCUUAAACAACUAGUAGGUUGUCUGUUAUAAUAACUGAAACUAUAUUAAUAAUGUGAAAAAAGUAUUUUGUUAGUGUAACAUAUAUGUAACGUAAAUUUUUUGUUGAUAAUUCUUUUUCUUUAGGGUUUUAGUUCUUGUUCUUGAGAGGUAUUUUUAGCAUAGGGUUUUGUAAUUAGGGCCAUUUGUGCGGCUCAUGGGAUUGACUCAUAUUCACGUGCUACAAUAAAAGAAGCUCACGGCUAUGCGCUUGGAUCUGUUCUUCUUUUUUGUAUUAUCUAAAUUUAAAUUAUACAUCGAUAAUAUAAUAAAUAUAAUAUUCUUACAUUUUAUUAGAAUAAUAGGAGGUUCGUUAUUAGUUUUAUCAAGUUAUAACUUAAUCCUUAUUAAGAGACGUACUAAUAGUUUUUUUAAUGAUUUGACUGUGUAAACAAUUUUUUCGCUAUUUUUGUUUUAAAGUUUGUGCGGUAUAUAUUUUUCUACAUAUUCCCAUAAGGCAUCGAAACCAUACGUAUAAUGACAAGCAUGAAAGUUACAACCUAUGUCUGUUGCCCUAAUAUUAUCCUUUCUCUGGACUUGUGUCUUUGCAUCAGCGUAGAAAUUUUUACACUUAUAAAUAUUAUUUGGAAUACAUGAUACUAUAAAAAGAUUAUAUUGAUUAUGUAUAUAACAUAAAUUCUUCUUCGAAUGCGGUUAACUAUCACAUUACCUCGUAAGUACUGUUUCAUUUAGCAAUUUUCUUUAGUUUCUGAUUUUCUUUUUGUAUUAUCAUUAAUAAUAAGGCCUUGUACGUUGAUGGGAUAAUCUCAACUUUUUUUUUUUUUUUUUUAAAUUCAUGUCAUAGUUUUUUGAACUGUAAAUCAAUGUAGACUGAUCAGAUUUUAUUCCUGUCUUUUACAUUUUUUACAGUGCUUCGAAGGACAUUCUUUUGUUUGAACAAUUUUGUCUUAGAAAAUGAUUACUUCUAUUUGUACAAUUGUAGGGUCACAUGUUAGAU